UACGUAGGGGGCAAGCGUUGUCCGGAAUCAUUGGGCGUAAGGAGCGCGCAGGCGGUCGUUCAAGUCGCGUGUGAAAGCCCCCGGCUCAACUGGGGAGGGUCACGCGAUACUGAUCGACUCGAAGGCAGGAGAGGGAAGUGGAAUUCCCGGUGUAGUGGUGAAAUGCGUAGAUAUCGGGAGGAACACCAGUGGCGAAGGCGACUUCCUGGCCUGUUCUUGACGCUGAGGCGCGAAAGCUAGGGGAGCAAACGGG
Molecule: ribosomal RNA, 253 nt
Filed under: uncultured bacterium
Lineage: Bacteria
Description: partial 16S ribosomal RNA
Rfam family: Bacterial small subunit ribosomal RNA
Source: RNAcentral